GUAACAGGUCUUCGGAUGCUGACGAGUGGCGAACGGGUGAGUAAUACAUCGGAACGUGCCUAGUAGUGGGGGAUAACUACUCGAAAGAGUAGCUAAUACCGCAUGAGAUCUACGGAUGAAAGCAGGGGACCUUCGGGCCUUGUGCUACUAGAGCGGCUGAUGGCAGAUUAGGUAGUUGGUGGGGUAAAGGCUUACCAAGCCUGCGAUCUGUAGCUGGUCUGAGAGGACGACCAGCCACACUGGGACUGAGACACGGCCCAGACUCCUACGGGAGGCAGCAGUGGGGAAUUUUGGACAAUGGGCGAAAGCCUGAUCCAGCAAUGCCGCGUGCAGGAUGAAGGCCCUCGGGUUGUAAACUGCUUUUGUACGGAACGAAAAGCCUGGGGCUAAUAUCCCCGGGUCAUGACGGUACCGUAAGAAUAAGCACCGGCUAACUACGUGCCAGCAGCCGCGGUAAUACGUAGGGUGCAAGCGUUAAUCGGAAUUACUGGGCGUAAAGCGUGCGCAGGCGGUUUUGUAAGACAGUGGUGAAAUCCCCGGGCUCAACCUGGGAACUGCCAUUGUGACUGCAAGGCUAGAGUGCGGCAGAGGGGGAUGGAAUUCCGCGUGUAGCAGUGAAAUGCGUAGAUAUGCGGAGGAACACCGAUGGCGAAG
RNAcentral lists this ribosomal RNA (654 nucleotides) under uncultured bacterium. RNAcentral describes it as "bacterial SSU rRNA". It matches the Rfam family "Bacterial small subunit ribosomal RNA", at positions 69 to 720 of the family's 1533-position model. The record is from RNAcentral.